This is a long non-coding RNA of Acanthopagrus latus (yellowfin seabream), 4843 nucleotides long. RefSeq lists it as uncharacterized. The record is from RefSeq and is a predicted model, not a curated record. NCBI's taxonomy places the organism in Eukaryota, Metazoa, Chordata, Actinopteri, Spariformes, Sparidae. The transcript has 4 exons.
CAGGUUCAGAGGGCCCAAACCAAGGCUGAAAAGUAACAGAGCAAGUGGAAUGUGCAGUCACGUCACUUGUGUCCCAUAAUGAGCUACUUGGACAUCACAGAUGCACAAUGACAGCCAAGCGGUUUAUUAUUUUUUUUCUCUGGGACUGCUGGUGUGUCUUUAAAACAUUGCAAGUGUGUGUAAAAGGGCCGUCUCUGGACUCCGGCUGCUCAGUGAGGUUUUAAUGUAGAAGAAGCAGAGGGAGCUGACAGGCAUGGCGACCUUGCCUCCUCACGUUACAUGUAGGAAAUCAUGAGAAACAGCCUACAAAGCCCUGACGCCAUGAGUGAAUCGAGCCCUAACGUUAAUGGUACUACUACUCAACGAUAAUUUUGGAUUCGUGGUGGUGUGAGGCCUGUUUUGCUUGGUGUUCUUCGUCCACUGCCCGCUGGUAGAAAACAUCCCAUGUAACUUCGAUGCCUUCCUGCAGAGCCAAACAAGCCGGAGACGAGGAGUCCUCAUUCGAUGACCUGUGCUGUAACGACGAGGCUGCUGAGGAAGGAAAAAGUCCCAUAGUCAGGGAGAUCAUAAUGAGAUCCACGCAUCAUUUAUCUUUGCAGCCAUUUUCCCCUCAAUGGACUUCCUCUGGAUCCCCACAGAACCUCCUCUAAUGCUAAGUGAACUGAAACACUUCAUAUUAAUCAUCAUUAAUAAAAGCAUAUCUGCUCCAAUAAGAACAGACGGGAUAUCUGCUGCUGGACUAAUGAGAGCCGCCAUCACUGUGCAGAUACACAUUGUUAGUGCAUAAAUGUUAUUCCUGUCCAUCUUUACCUGGUCUCCUUAUGUCUUCUCCCUGGCGACCCCUUAUAACAUGACAUCAGAUGUACAACCUCAUAUUGGACUUUUGUUUCAUUUAUUGAUUAAUCUGCCAAUUGCUACUGUAUUGAGUGUUUGGUCAAUGAAUUGUAAGAAAAUGAUGAAAAAUGUUAAUUUGAUUUUGUGUUUAGUUUUCUGUUGUAGAAGAGGAAAAACACCAGAAAAUAUUCACAUUUGAGGAGCAGAAAACAGAACAUUUGACAUCUGACAGUGCUAUAGUUCGUUAUUUUUAUGGCUGACAACAAAUCAAUAAUUUCAAUUCAGUCGUAUCAACUGGCAUUUUCUUCUUUACAGCUCAAAAAAUGGGUUUUGACUAACAGCAUGCUUAAAAUGGCUUUAAAAGAUAAAUCACAAGAACAUCUCUUUUCAAGAAUGCAGUCUACUCCAUUAGCGGUUCUGGAAGCUUUCAGUCAUGUCACAAGAUCUUUAUCUGCAGUCAGAUGCAACAAGAAGUCAAAUUUCACAGGCUCACAGUAAAAAAAAUUGCAUUUCAAAAAUCUUUGCGUGACAUCAGGGCAUGCGUCGAUGAAGACCAUGUGAUAUGACUGCAAGAUUCAGAGCUGUUUUUUCUGGAGCGUUGAAAAAAAAAAGGCUUCUCAGUAAUUUGUUCAACCACAUGGCCACGAGAACGUAAAUAAAUGGAGCUCGAGUUAAACUGACCAGUGUCUACAAGAGAGGGACAAAUAACAGUGAAAAUAAAAGCUACAACACAAACCUCUCUGCCUCAUUACCUUUCUUUGACGCUCUCCUAGAUAACAGACAUCACAUUUAAGAUGAUCAGAUAUACAAAUCAAAUUCACUCGAGUUUAACAUCUCCAUUCAUUUGGCGAUCACAUGAGUUAUAAAGGACAACAUCUCUGUAGACGUUAAUUACCUCAGCCAUGAUUUGACACCUUAAAGUGUUGAGAGAGAAAUGUACAGAAAUCUUUCAAAGUGAUGGCAGCAUGUUAAAAUAAGCCCCCUACUCUUUGCUUUAGCUUUACACACAUUUUAAAAAAUCAUGUAAAACAAGUUACAUUAAAAUAAUUGCAGUAAUGUAGUCCGUUUAUUUCUGAUAUUGGCUCAGUACGGCUGUUGUAUUUAAGUAACGAUCAACCAAGCCCUGUACAAGGCCGCACUCUCUCUUUGUUUCACUAAAACAUGUAAUUAUGCUGCUUCAUUUAAUUAACAUAUAUGAGAACAGAGCAUAAGACACAGACAGGGUGAAAUAACACAGUGUCUCUGGAUAACAGUGAACUCAUUGUCAACACAUUAUCAGAAAAACUAGACAAAGUGCUCAAUAUUGAAAACAAGGUCUGUUUAUUACUUAUUGCAAAGUAAAAUGUGAAAACCUGCUCAUGUCCCACUGUUUGAUGAAUUCAUCAUUCCUUGGAUUUACAGCAGUGUUUCUUGCACUUCCGGACUGUUUGCUUUUGCUACAUACACCUGAUCUGUGUUAAGAAGCCUGGACUGUUGAGCAGUAAUAAAGAGCAGAGAUUCGUCUGUUUGUCUCCUACCGUUUCCUGUUAAAAUAAUAGCCCUACAUGUUUAAAACCAGAAUCAGAAACUUCAACAUCGCUCAAUGGCUCAAAGCACUUUUAGAAGAUCCCCUCCAGCCACAUUUUAAACAAGAAAAUAUUUUUGUUUGAAUAACUGAUCGUGAUAAUUGUCAUUAUGAAGUGUUUUUCCAAAAAAAGGUCAAAUAACCAGAUUGAAUAUGACAAAAAUCACACCUGUUUUUUUUGUUUUGUUUUGUUUUUUUACCUCAACAGAAAAAUCCAUGAAUGUGUGAAUAUGCCAAUGAUGUAAAUAUCAAUGGUUUACAGCUGAACAACAGAUGUGAAUGGUAUGUCCAAGUGUUUAACAGAGAGUUCAGGUGAGCACAGAGAAUGUGUGAAAACAAACCCAUCAUCCUGCAGAGUGAUGCUCAAACAUCACAGUGAAGAAAAACACAUUUGACUGUAGAGGGAUCUCUAUUUAAAUCCCACAGGAGAGGCCCACUGACCUUACUCUCACUGCAGACUUGUUGGGGGGACAGUUGUGGCUAAAGAAUGGGAGAGUGUUUAUUAAUAUUCCACUUUUUUUCCAAAAUGAUCUAGUAACUUUAUUUCCCUCUCUUGCAGUUACACAGAGAUGACAAAGGUUGGAUGGGCAGUUUGUUGUGAAUAAUGAUUUAGAGACAAAAGUAAGUGGUGUUUGCUUUUAAAGAAAAGAGUCAAAUCAUUAAAGGCCGGUAAAGAGUCAGUAAGGGGACCUUGAGAUGGGAAAAAUUGGGGAAACUGAGAUUUCAAGUUCAAGAAUAACCUUUAAUGCUAUUAAAGUGUUUUUGUUUUAUUUUUAAAUCCCCAUUUAGUUUCACUUAAACAGAGCAGAGAGUCUUUAAUUUUGCCUCUUUUUUCCAUUGCAAACUGGAGUUUGCUGUAUUGGUAUAUGUCAUGCUCAGACAGAAUUCGACAUGUUUUCUUCGAAAAUUAUCAAAUUGCCAAUUUCACUCCACAGGCCCUGGUUUGGUCUGAGGGUUUCAAUCAUCUCUGCAGCCUCAAAAAGCCUGUUUUUCGUUUGGAAGAUCCAAACACUCAGGACUGGAGGCCCAAAUUGUUCUUAUCCACAGCAACAAUCUAACACUUACAUGUAUUUAAAAAAAAAAAAAAAAACUAAAUAUGUUUGAAUUGACUGGAGGGAAAUGCGAAUAAAAUGAUUUGAAGGUCAUGCAGAACAUUUCACCACACAGAUUGAACAAUGCAGAGUAUAAAAGUUUUGAAAUUCUGCAAAUUGAAAAGAAAAUAAUUGGAGGCUGAAUGUGGCAAACAUGUGAGUUCAAGUUAUUUAACAGCAUGGCCUCAAACCACUCUGCUUCAGUCGGAGAGGUUGAAUGUUAACAGCAACACUCUCAGUCAAAAUACAAAAUCAAAUACCUUGUCUCUGCUCCACUUCCUGCUCGGACGGAAACAGGAUGUGCUCACAGCGACUGAGUGCAGCAGCCUCGCUUGACAGAGAAAGUCAUUCUGCACAUUUUGCCUGCUACAUUCAGAUGCUGUGUUGUACAGAUGUUUUACAGAAAUGUGUAUAAAUGUGUUUCCCGAAACCAGCAGCGUGGAACUUUUUCUUAUCUAUCACUUCAAAACAAUCCCCCAGUGGAUAAUAUGACUGAAAAAGUACAGAAGCAACUUCAGAAAGAUGUUCUAACGGUUAGUGUCCAGAGGACUGGUCAGUGUCGGUGGUUAAUUUUUGUAUACAUGUGUGUGUAAUAGCAUUUUACUUCACCAUAUUUUCAGCGUCAGAUCUUAAUCUGCAAGCAACAACUGACUGUGUCGGUCAAAUCCACAUAUCUCAAUAUUACAAACUCUAAAUAUUCCAAAAUUGCCCUAUGAACUGAAACACAGGUGCUGAUUGGAAACACUGGAGGACUUGAUCACUUUCCACUGCUGCUUCAGUCACAGUUGCUGUAACAUAGUGCAGUGACACACAGGAGGUUUCCUCAGUGGUCAAGUUAAAACAUCUGUGUGAGGUGAAACACGGUGAAGAGUUCACUGAUCAGACUGGGCUCAUGUUUCACUGCACAACACUGGGAUAACGUUUCUAGAGAGGAGCUUUCAUGCUGAUCAAGUGUUUAGAAUCAAGAAUCAUGCACAACUGUCCACACACACAUCUUACAAGUAAAACAGAAAGAGCAGAGGACCAAUGUCAACGAAUCAAAAGCUCUAAUUUAGGUGCGCACGUGGACAACAUCAGAACGGAUGAAACGGGUGUGUGUGUUACACAGAGAGGGACCCGACACACACACACACACACACAGCAACAUCAAAAUGUCCAACCAUGAGUGAGGACAGGAACAAGAGUGCUGGUUAGAGACGCUGCAUGUGAAGUGAAGUGAUCUCAGUAGGUGAUCUGACGCAGACCCGCUCUUGAUCUCUGAGGAUCUCACUGCGAGGAAACUGAAGCUGCAUCCCGACAUUUUGAACAAAGAUUAAAACCGUGAACUGCUUCAAGUCAGUCAAAAAAAAAAAAA